This 63-nucleotide transfer RNA is filed under the name Aradus compar. Its description in RNAcentral is "tRNA-Pro". Lineage: Eukaryota; Metazoa; Arthropoda; Insecta; Hemiptera; Aradidae. The record is from RNAcentral.
CAGCAGGUAGUUUAAGUUAGAAUAUUAAUUUUGGAGGUUAAUGGUGAUUAUUAUUUCUGCUGA